UCCUUCUAGCUCAGAUUGUGAUGGACCGGGAAUGCGACACUAGUUACUCUUAAGUCAAGAACCAAAUGAAGCACCAGAGUACAGAUUAUGGAGGUAUCUGAAGUUGAACUAACCGGAAGCAGGGAACCAUACUAAUAAAGUUCCUUAAGGUUCCUUGUAAAGAUGAACCCAGGGAAGGAUCGAAAGUGGAGAAGACCAGAUCAAGAAAGACCACAUCAAGAUCUGCGGUCAGUUCAAAGGAUUUUUUUUGCAUUGGACUGUUUUUUUUUUUGGCUUUAACCUUGCUCGACCCUGACCUCACUCUUGGACUGCCCUGUUGGAUUUUCAGUUUAUUUAAUUUAAAUUUUUUAUUUUUUUUUGGUUCUAGGUAAAUGCUAAUAAAUAUUUAGUUGUAAUUAUUUAAGUAAUAUAUUUUUGUUAAAUAUGCGAUUUCUGUGUUUGUUCUGUCUACUCAUACUUGUUUAUCUUGUUUCUGUAAUUAUCAUUUGUUUAUUUGACCCCUGCCUCGCCUCUGAUCUUGUUUUUGGAUUGCCCUUUAUUUAUCUCUUUAAUUAUUGGUUCUGGCUAUAUGGUUAUAAAAUAUUUGUUAAUUUAAUUAAUAUGCAUUUUAUAAAAAAAUAUAUAUAUUUUCUGUGUUUUUUUUCUGUAUCUAUUUAUCUAAUUUGUAUAUACAUUUGUGUUUGUAUGUUCUUCUUAUUCUGUAUAUCCACUUACCUAAUUUUAACUUUUAUAUAUAUUUAUUUGCAUUUAAUUUGUGAUAAUUCUGUAUGCGUUUAUUUAUCUAAUUCAUAUAUUUAUUUGUAUUGCAUUGAUCAAUCUGUUGUUGUUUUUUUGUAUGCAUCUAUUUAUAUAAUUUAUAUAUUUGUAUUUAUCAAUUUAUAUGCUUCUUUUAAAGCAUUUUUUUAAAUAAAGCAAUUUAAACUAA
Molecule: long non-coding RNA, 925 nt
Filed under: Danio rerio (zebrafish)
Lineage: Eukaryota; Metazoa; Chordata; Actinopteri; Cypriniformes; Danionidae
Description: lncRNA si:ch211-194p6.13 (ENSDARG00000105621.2)
Source: RNAcentral